This 589-nucleotide ribosomal RNA is filed under the name uncultured bacterium. RNAcentral's name for it is "bacterial SSU rRNA". It matches the Rfam family "Bacterial small subunit ribosomal RNA", at positions 785 to 1395 of the family's 1533-position model. The record is from RNAcentral.
CGCUGCUAGCUCACACAGUAAACGAAGCAUGCCACUCGCAAGCAAGCAUCCUUCAUUGAGACACACGUACGCUAGCAACCUUUCUAUUUGGGGGGUUGCGUGGCAAGAGUUAAACGCUAGUUAAUUGACAGGGGCCCUCACAAGCGGUGGAGCAUGACAUUUAAUCCUUAGCCACGCGCGGAACUUUUUCACCCCCUGACAUCCUUUGUCACACCCAGAGAUGGAUGGUUUCAUUCGGGCACGCAGUGACAGAUAUUGCACGGCUCUCCUCAGCUUGUGUGUUGAGAUGUUCUGUCAAGUCCAGCAAGGAGCACCAUCCACUUCGUCCAUUUACAGCUGUUCGCCUGGGCGAUCCGGUGAAUCUCCACGUGAUUAGCGGCAGGAAGGUAUGGCCGACGGCAAGAGCUCAGGAGCUCUACGUCUUGGGCUCCACGCUUGUUUCAAUAGCAGUGCCAAGGGGUUAAUCGCCAAAAACCGUAUCAGUUCAGAUUCCCAUGCGCAACUCGAGAGCAUGAAGUUGGAAUCGCUAGUAAUUGCCCGACAGCACAGAUAGGUGAAUUCCGCUCCGGGCGCAUGUGUUAGGCCUCAA